CAGUAGCCGCGGGAAUACAGAGGAUGCAAGCGUUAUCCGGAAUGAUUGGGCGUAAAGCGUCUGUAGGUGGCUUUUCAAGUCCGCCGUCAAAUCCCAAGGCUCAACCCUGGACAGGCGGUGGAAAAUACCAAGCUGGAGUACGGUAGGGGCAGAGGGAAUUUCCGGUGGAGCGGUGAGAUGCGUUGAGGUUGGAAAGAACACCAACGGUGAAAGCACUCUGCUGGGCCGACACUGACACUGAGAGACGAAAGCUAGGGGAGCAAAUGGGAUUAGAUACCCCCGUAGUCCCUGUCUCUUAUAC
This 301-nucleotide ribosomal RNA is filed under the name uncultured bacterium. Its description in RNAcentral is "partial 16S ribosomal RNA". It matches the Rfam family "Bacterial small subunit ribosomal RNA", at positions 509 to 807 of the family's 1533-position model. The record is from RNAcentral.